CAAGCUGCUGUGAUACGAGCUGCUGUAAAAACGGAGGCCUCCAGACCAACAGCCAGGGAGUAGAGGAGAGACUCACAUUAGUGGCCACUGGACCAGUGGGAGGAAGAGCUUAUGGGAAGAGACUUCUUUGGCUCAUCUCAUGUUACAUCUUGGAGUGACCUCAAAGGCCCCAUCCCAGAAGGCACAGCCACAAAAAACGUGGCCUCCACCAGCAUGGAUCCCUGAAUGUAAU
Molecule: long non-coding RNA, 232 nt
Organism: Homo sapiens (human)
Lineage: Eukaryota; Metazoa; Chordata; Mammalia; Primates; Hominidae
Product: long independently transcribed non-coding RNA 1982
Source: RefSeq, marked validated